GGGUGAGUAACGCGUGAGAAUCUACCUUCAGGUUUGGGACAACCACUGGAAACGGUGGCUAAUACCGAAUGUGCCGAGAGGUGAAAGGCUUGCUGCCUGAAGAAGAGCUUGCGUCUGAUUAGCUAGUUGGUGGGGUAAGAGCCUACCAAGGCGACGAUCAGUAGCUGGUCUGAGAGGAUGAUCAGCCACACUGGGACUGAGACACGGCCCAGACUCCUACGGGAGGCAGCAGUGGGGAAUUUUCCGCAAUGGGCGAAAGCCUGACGGAGCAAUACCGCGUGAGGGAGGAAGGCUCUUGGGUUGUAAACCUCUUUUCUCAGGGAAGAAGACAAUGACGGUACCUGAGGAAUAAGCAUCGGCUAACUCCGUGCCAGCAGCCGCGGUAAUACGGAGGAUGCAAGCGUUAUCCGGAAUGAUUGGGCGUAAAGGGUCCGCAGGUGGUAGUGUAAGUCUGCUGUUAAAGAAUCACGCUCAACGUGAUCAAAGCAGUGGAAACUACACAACUAGAGUACGGUAGGGGCAGAAGGAAUUCCUGGUGUAGCGGUGAAAUGCGUAGAUAUCAGGAAGAACACCGGUGGCGAAAGCGUUCUGCUAGACCUGUACUGACACU
Molecule: ribosomal RNA, 610 nt
Filed under: Cuspidothrix issatschenkoi LEGE 00247
Lineage: Bacteria; Bacillati; Cyanobacteriota; Cyanophyceae; Nostocales; Aphanizomenonaceae
Description: bacterial SSU rRNA
Rfam family: Bacterial small subunit ribosomal RNA
Source: RNAcentral